RNAcentral lists this non-coding RNA (29 nucleotides) under Homo sapiens (human). The record is from RNAcentral. Lineage: Eukaryota; Metazoa; Chordata; Mammalia; Primates; Hominidae.
UCCUGAUCUUUCCUACUAACCUAGUGUCU